UGCCUCCCUGGGAACAUUCUAUCCAACUGACUUAUCUGUCAAUCAUUGAAUGAACUUCAAUCUCCCAGAGAUUCAAUGUAACAAUACGUCAAACACACUUAACACAUUGUCUCUAAGAAAAGGGAAUGAACAUCUAUAACAGAGAACUUCUCAGGAACAGAUGGAUUUGUGAAACAACCCAAACAACACUAAAGACCCCAGUCACCGAAGUCCAUGAGUUGAAGAUGAGCCAGAAGAACAGCUCACAUGGCAGAACAAUCCCUGAAGAUGGCAAGCCCCUUUAAAAAUGAUCAACCUUAACUAUUUACUCCAACCCAAUUACUAUUAUUGUUGUGAUUCAACUACUUUGAAAAAUGUAACUUAUAAUGAUGUACACCCUUGUAUUCUGAUAUUGGGUAUAACUAUUCCUGCAAUAAAUGUAAAUUUUCAAA
Molecule: long non-coding RNA, 431 nt
Organism: Gracilinanus agilis (Agile Gracile Mouse Opossum)
Lineage: Eukaryota; Metazoa; Chordata; Mammalia; Didelphimorphia; Didelphidae
Exons: 2
Source: RefSeq, a predicted model, not a curated record